This 313-nucleotide ribosomal RNA is filed under the name uncultured bacterium. RNAcentral describes it as "bacterial SSU rRNA". It matches the Rfam family "Bacterial small subunit ribosomal RNA", at positions 28 to 334 of the family's 1533-position model. The record is from RNAcentral.
GACGAACGCUGGCGGCGUGCUUAACACAUGCAAGUCGAACGAUGAAGCCGGGGCUUAUUGUUUUGGUGGAUUAGUGGCGAACGGGUGAGUAAUACGUGAGUAACCUGCCCUUGUCUUUGGGAUAAGCCUGGGAAACCGGGUCUAAUACCGGAUAUUCUGCUUUUGCCGCAUGGUGGGGGUUGGAAAGAUUUCGGCGGUUGGGGAUGGACUCGCGGCUUAUCAGCUUGUUGGUGGGGUAGUGGCUUACCAAGGCUUUGACGGGUAGCCGGCCUGAGAGGGUGACCGGCCACAUUGGGACUGAGAUACGGCCCAG